UGACGAUUUUCCACAGAGGUCGACCCAUGAGUCGACCCCCAGGCAUGAGUCGACUCAUGAGUCGACCCCUGUGACGGGAUUUUUCUGCAACGGCUAGUUUUUAACCCAUUUUAAAUGCUUUUAAUGCUCAUUUAAUGCAGUCUAACGGCUCUUUUUCCAGUCUAGAAUGAUUUCCUCUAUUUCUUAAAGCUAUAAAAGGAACAAAAAGGUGGG
Molecule: long non-coding RNA, 213 nt
Filed under: Elaeis guineensis (African oil palm)
Lineage: Eukaryota; Viridiplantae; Streptophyta; Magnoliopsida; Arecales; Arecaceae
Description: long non-coding RNA (EGUI_LNC005959)
Source: RNAcentral